CUCGGCUCUCGCAUCGAUGAAGAACGUAGCGAAAUGCGAUACUUGGUGUGAAUUGCAGAAUCCCGUGAACCAUCGAGUCUUUGAACGCAAGUUGCGCCCGAAGCCGUCAGGCCGAGGGCACGUCUGCCUGGGCGUCACGCAUCGCGUCGCCCCCCUACUUUACGC
Molecule: ribosomal RNA, 165 nt
Filed under: Ipomoea kituiensis
Lineage: Eukaryota; Viridiplantae; Streptophyta; Magnoliopsida; Solanales; Convolvulaceae
Description: 5.8S ribosomal RNA
Rfam family: 5.8S ribosomal RNA (bases 1-137)
About the family: 5.8S ribosomal RNA (5.8S rRNA) is a component of the large subunit of the eukaryotic ribosome.
Source: RNAcentral